This 279-nucleotide ribosomal RNA is filed under the name uncultured bacterium. RNAcentral's name for it is "partial 16S ribosomal RNA". It matches the Rfam family "Bacterial small subunit ribosomal RNA", at positions 506 to 784 of the family's 1533-position model. The record is from RNAcentral.
UGCCAGCAGCCGCGGUAACACGUACCGUACGAACGUUAUUCGGAAUUAUUGGGCUUAAAGGGUGCGUAGGCGGCGUCGUAAGUCGGGUGUGAAAUCCCUCAGCUCAACUGAGGAACUGCGCCCGAUACUGCGAUGCUUGAGGGAGACAGGGGUAAGCGGAACUGAUGGUGGAGCGGUGAAAUGCGUUGAUAUCAUCAGGAACACCAGUGGCGAAAGCGGCUUACUGGGUCUCUUCUGACGCUGAGGCACGAAAGCUAGGGUAGCGAACGGGAUUAGAUA